Long non-coding RNA from Erinaceus europaeus (western European hedgehog), 1484 nucleotides. RefSeq lists it as uncharacterized. Lineage: Eukaryota; Metazoa; Chordata; Mammalia; Eulipotyphla; Erinaceidae. The record is from RefSeq and is a predicted model, not a curated record. The transcript has 5 exons.
CACAGCUCUCAGAAGAUGGUGUCCUCACUUGCUCUUUUAGCAGAAAGGGGCUAGAAGGGCAGAAGGGAGGAGUUACCAGGCCCUGGGAGGAAGUGAAGGCUUUAGACUUUUUCAGGGAAGUAACAGCAAGUGUGGAGGAAGAGUUCAAUGUCAGCAGUGCCUCUGUGGAUUCAGCCUGUAGUCUUACUAUCUGAAGAAAGCUGGCUUGGGAUAUUAUAGCCCUGGCAACAACAACAGAAACAGAGCAAAAUUCACCUCAUCUGACUGGGAAGCAGAAUAUUGACCCCACCAUCAAGACUGCCGUGCAAUAACCCCCAGCGCCUGUGCAGAGCAAAGGGACUUUUGCAGACGUGGUUAAAGGCUUUGAGGUAAUAGCCAAAACCUGGAAGCAGCCCAGGUGUCCAACAACAGCCACCAGGUUCCAGAUGCUAGUAGGAUGCCAACCAGACUUCCUGGACAGACAACCCCACCAAUGUGUCCUGGAGCUCCGCUUCCCCAGAGCCCUUCCCCACUAGGGAAAGAAAGAGACAGACUGGGAGUAUGGAUCGACCUGUUAACACCCAUCUUCAGUGGGGAAGCAAUUACAGAAGCCAGACCUUCCACCUUCUGCAUCCCACCAUGACCUUGAGUCCAUACUCCCAGAGGGUUAAAGAAUAGGAAAGCUAUCAGGAGGGAAUAGGAUACGGAGUUCUGGUGAUGGGAAUUGUGUAGAGUUAUACCCCUCUUAUCCUAUGGUUUUGUCAGUGUUUCUUUUUUAUAAAUAAAAAAAGGGAAAAAAAACCAAAAAGAGAAUUAUCUUAUGAUCCAGCAAUACCAUUCUUAGUCAUAUAUCCAGGGGACACUCAGACACGAAUCAGAAGGGACAUAUGCACCCUAACUGCAUUAUUUACAAUGGCCAAAGAGUGGACGAAGCCUAGAUGCCCAUCAUCAGAUAACUGGCUAAAGUUAUGGGAUAUAUAUUUCAUGGAAUACUAUUCUGCAAUCAAAAAGAUGAUAUUUUGUCUUUGAGAUAAAAUGGAUGGAACUGGAGGUGACGAUGCUUAAUGAAAUAAGUAAAGAGAUGAAAGACAACUAUCGGAUGGUUUCACUUAUAGCUGGAAUCUAGAGAUCUGAUUUAUAUAAACUUGCCCCCAAAAUCAAAUAAAGCAGAAGUAAGCAAACUGUAAGACUUGUGAGGGCUCUGGUGGCUAUCAUGAGAGGUGGAAGGGUAGGGAUACAGAACUUUGGAGGUGGUGUGAUGGUGUGAUGAUACACUGUAGUCUUAUAAUCUUGUAGCAAACUAUUAAUAACAAAUUAAAAAAUAAAAAUAAAGCAAUGACCUCAGCAGAUAUCGCUGGCCAUCCACGCGCUGCCAGGCAUAAGACCCCUCCCAGAUGAUCCCUUGAACUUCCUCCCUGUCCCUCUGGCACUGUCCCCUGUGACACUCCAGUUCUGCGCUGACCUUUCAACCUGACACAAGAAGCUGCUCCUCUCAGCCUCUGACC